This 870-nucleotide ribosomal RNA is filed under the name bacterium enrichment culture clone C:1950:Ti:8. RNAcentral describes it as "bacterial SSU rRNA". It matches the Rfam family "Bacterial small subunit ribosomal RNA", at positions 9 to 873 of the family's 1533-position model. The record is from RNAcentral.
AGAGUUGAUCCUGGCUCAGGAUGAACGCUAGCGGGAGGCCUAACACAUGCAAGUCGAACGGGAUUCAGUAGCUUGCUACUGAUGAGAGUGGCGCACGGGUGAGUAACGCGUAUGCAACCUACCUCUUACAGGGGGAUAGCCCGGAGAAAUCCGGAUUAAUAUCCCAUGGUAUUUAUUCUCCGCAUGGAUAAUAAAUUAAAGAUUUAUCGGUAAGAGAUGGGCAUGCGUGACAUUAGUUUGUUGGUGAGGUAACGGCUCACCAAGACUACGAUGUCUAGGGGUUCUGAGAGGAUGAUCCCCCACACUGGUACUGAGACACGGACCAGACUCCUACGGGAGGCAGCAGUGAGGAAUAUUGGUCAAUGGGCGCAAGCCUGAACCAGCCAUCCCGCGUGAAGGAAGACGGCCCUAUGGGUUGUAAACUUCUUUUCUGCACCAAGAAUUGGCCUUACGUGUAAGGUUUUGACGGUAGUGCAGGAAUAAGCAUCGGCUAACUCCGUGCCAGCAGCCGCGGUAAUACGGAGGAUGCAAGCGUUAUCCGGAUUCAUUGGGUUUAAAGGGUACGUAGGUGGCCCAGUAAGUCAGUGGUGAAAUCCUGCCGCUUAACGGUAGAACUGCCAUUGAUACUGCUGGGCUUGAGUACAGUUGAGGUAGGCGGAAUGUGUAGUGUAGCGGUGAAAUGCUUAGAUAUUACACAGAACCCCGAUUGCGAAGGCAGCUUACUAAACUGUAACUGACACUGAGGUACGAAAGCGUGGGGAGCGAACAGGAUUAGAUACCCUGGUAGUCCACGCCGUAAACGAUGCUCACUCGCUGUAUGCGAUACACAGUAUGCGGCCAAGCGAAAGUAUUAAGUGAGCCACCUGGGAG